AAAAAAGCAUUUUUUUUUGAGACGGAGAAUCGCUCUGUUGCCCAGGCUGGAGUGCAAUGGCGCUAUCUCGGUUGACUGCAACCUCCAUCUCCCGGGUUCAAGUGAUUCUCCUGCCUCAGCUUCCUGAGUAGCUCGGAUUACAGGCGCCCGCCACCAUGCCUGGCUAAUUUUUGUAUUUUUAGUAGAGAUGAGGUUUCACCAUGCUGGCCAGGCUGGUCUCCAACUCUUGACCUCAAGUGAUCCGCCCGCC
This 250-nucleotide long non-coding RNA is filed under the name Homo sapiens (human). RNAcentral describes it as "HSALNT0006177". Lineage: Eukaryota; Metazoa; Chordata; Mammalia; Primates; Hominidae. The record is from RNAcentral.